AUCUGUGGCCAUACCACCCCGGAACGUGCUCAAUGUCAUCUCAUCUGGAAAGCUAAGCAGGGUCGGGCCUGGUUAGUACUUGCAUGGGAGAAAACUGUCGAUUUCCUACAAAAU
RNAcentral lists this ribosomal RNA (114 nucleotides) under Aotus nancymaae (Ma's night monkey). The record is from RNAcentral. Lineage: Eukaryota; Metazoa; Chordata; Mammalia; Primates; Aotidae.